AAGAGAAGAGAAGUGGGCAAUUACAGAUCUGCUGCCUGCAGCUGGCUUGGAGCCAGCCCAUCCACUGGACAGGCACUUGCUGCUCAGCCAACAUCAGCUGUGAGACCUGGGCUCAGACCUAAGCCACCAGGAAUGAGGACUGCAUUCCUGAGAAAUGCUGGAGAGGAGACAACCAGGGAAAGACUCCACGGCAUGGCAUCCCCACGGCACAGCGGGCUGCAGCCUCCAGACAUCCCUGCAAAUCCAGCCUCAGCUCAUCCACGCUGCAUGCACAGCUAAAGUGACUUUGGAAAGCUCCAAAGGUCAUCAAAACCUUGGCAAGGCUCUUCAGCUGCCAGCAAAGUCACUCUUGCUACCUGCCUACAACCUGAACAGAUAAACUCAUGCAAAGCCUGCAGAGAUGUGUUCUCCAGCCAAAUAUGUCUGAAAGGGGAAUAACCCAAGCGACAGAUGCUGGAGAAUGAACAUGACCUGCACAUGAGCUGCACCCUGCAGCACUAGGGAAGGGUUAGGGACUCUGCCCUCCAGUGUGGAAGCCAGGCUGACCUGUAAUGAGACCAUCCUGCAGCUGCUGGUUGUGGGCAGGAUGAGUAUUUGUGAAGAACAGCAAGACAAUGACCAGGCUGCUCUGUCAGGCUGAAAACCAGACUGUGUCUAGGGUGCAUCUGACUUAUAAGGUUCAAGGAGGGGUGAGGAAAGCUGACAGACUGACCAUGCAGGAAGCCAGCAGGACAUCUGGCUUUUUCUGCCCCCAAGACACUGAGCAAGCUCCUGGUCCCUCCAGUUUGUGGCAAGGGCAGCUCCUUUUUAUUUAAUGCAGUGCUCUAGCUUUGCCUGCAGCUUCAAUAGAAAAGGCCUGUUUGGCAGCCUGGGCUGUGAGGGUCAGGUCACUGCCAGCCAGCCCCUCAGACACAAAGCCCAGCACAAGCCUUGCAGUCUGGAAUGAAGGUGAGGGGCUGGGAAGGGAGAGGAAGGCAGCAAGGGGAAGUUGAUUUUCCUGACCAGAUGUCACUGUGUGAGCUGGGCCAUAUGAUCUCCUGCAGCUCUCAGGAACCUCAUGCAAAGGAAAGCAGCAAAUCGCAGGGAAAGCUACAGACUUGUUUGAGCAAGGGUGUCAGGGACUUUGUUGCUGGGAGUGUUUGCCAAGCAUGUCAAUUAACCCUGUGACAAGCUCAGGAAUGAGUUCUGUGCUUCCCGGUUUGUUGUUUUUGCCACGUGUGGUGAGGCUGAUGCAGUACAGACAAUUAAGUGUAUGAAGCACACACCAGCUUUUACUGGAGUGGGUCUGGAAGUCAGCUGCAGUAUCUCCUUACAGCCUCUCCAUCAGCCAGGAAGCAGCACGAGCUGCAUCUAUUUCUAUUCCUUAGAUUACAAGUGCAGACAACACCAGACUCCUGGAGCUCCUUCCAUUUUCUUACACGGCUAUUACGAGAAGGAGCUGCAUGAAAGGAUAUUGCACCAUCUUGGCUCCUAAAUCCAGCAGAGUGCAGGAUUACAUUCACUGACAUGGAUUCUGAGCUGCUUCCCCCCGAGGAGGAGGAGGGAGAUUUCCCUUUCCAUGGGAUGGCGCAAUGCUGACAGCUGUAAACCAGCUCUGAAGACAGAUGCCAGUGCUUGCAUGGAUGAGUUUGACAUCUGAUCCUUCAUGUCCUGUUCAUUCAACAAAAGAAGGAGCAUGUGAGCAUUGGAUUUGAGAUGACAGGCAAAUUCAGGGCUGUUUAUACCCCGCAAAGCUUCUACAAGGGGGAAAGAGGGAAGGGAGAUUUUCUUUGAAAACCCACACUUUUGAAGAGUCUGGAAACAUACUGUAGAAAUUUCAUUGUUAUACUAAUACUGGAAUCAACAGCAUUGGGGUAUUUUGAAAAUAUUCCUCAUUUACUACUCAUUUUUCUCCACUAUAACCAGAACCACAUUGAUUUGUACAAUAAAAGAAUGUUCCUGUUG
Molecule: long non-coding RNA, 1944 nt
Organism: Passer montanus (Eurasian tree sparrow)
Lineage: Eukaryota; Metazoa; Chordata; Aves; Passeriformes; Passeridae
Exons: 3
Source: RefSeq, a predicted model, not a curated record